Molecule: transfer RNA, 75 nt
Filed under: Calypogeia fissa
Lineage: Eukaryota; Viridiplantae; Streptophyta; Jungermanniopsida; Jungermanniales; Calypogeiaceae
Description: tRNA-Arg
Rfam family: tRNA
About the family: Transfer RNA (tRNA) molecules are approximately 80 nucleotides in length.
Source: RNAcentral
GGGUUUGUAGCUCAGUGGAUUAGAGUUCAUGACUCCGAAGCAUGAGGUCAAGGGUUCGAAUCCCUUCUAACCCUU